Molecule: long non-coding RNA, 1203 nt
Organism: Lytechinus variegatus (green sea urchin)
Lineage: Eukaryota; Metazoa; Echinodermata; Echinoidea; Temnopleuroida; Toxopneustidae
Exons: 4
Source: RefSeq, a predicted model, not a curated record
AUGUUCUUCUCUUUCCCCGUCUCGCUCGAUCCCCGACCGCGACCUCGGAACGAACUCUCUUCGUAUAUUUCUGUGAAAGCAGGAGUGUUGUUCAUUAGAUUUAUAUUUUCCAGACUUUAUCCAGACGUUUCUCCCAACAAUGGCUCAGAAGAAAGUUCACAUUGAAUACUGUGGUUCCUGAGGGUACUAUCCCCGCUACCGGGAACUGCAAGAGAUGAUUGAGUCUGCAGUCAAAGGAGCGGAUGUUGAUGGCAAGCAAGGCAGACCUAGUUCAUUCGAGGUUACAUUGAAUGGGCAGGUCUUGUUUUCCAAGCUGAAAACUGGAGGAUUCCCAGACCUUGAUGCGAUUGUUGAGGCGAUCAAAGAUUACAAGGGUGAAGGCACAGUGACUCCAGUGGAGAAGACUGCAUCAAUGUGUAUCAUCUUAUAAAGAGAAUGGACAACCAUCAUCCAGGUUUACUUCACAAAAUGGAUAGUCCUCAUUUCUCCACAACUUAUCAGAAUGAAUCAUUCAUGCCCAAACAUGGAAAACCCUUAACUCCUUUGAAUGCAGUGUUAUAAGAAAGAUAUCCAGUCUCUCUUGAAUACCAGUAUUUAAUUUCAGAAGUGAGUUAUGUCCAACUUCUAAUAUAUUUUCUAAGAUGUAAUGCUGUAUUAUUUACUGUAGCGCAAUUUGGUAAGUUUUACAUCUGUACAGAGAACCUCCUGUCUAUGAUGAUCUUUAUAAUUAAUAUUUAAUAUUGUUGAGUUUAACAGCAAUGAAAAUGACUAGAAUUGCACCAAGGAUAUAAUCUGAAUUACAUUGUGUGCUCUGUUAAAGAAUAUUCAGUUUAAACACAUGCAUCCCUAAUAAUGUAGACUGAAAAUGAUUGUAUUUACAAUUUCAAUGCCUUUUCCAUUUUGUCAACUAAACCUGCAUUUUGUAUUUCAAAUCUCUAAACUACUUGAAAUCAUACUUGCCCCUAUGCAUUACCCACUUGUGGCCCAAUUAAUGACAAGUUGGAUUGAAAGGGGAGGAACUACCUCCCCCUAUCCAUACUUUGAUGAAAUAUUUGGGCCUGUUGGUAAAGCUGGGAGUGAUAGAUUUCUUCUAGUAUUCAUUAUUUCAAGAAUCAAUUAACGUUCUAUGGUGUACAUUGUUAAAUUUACUAGGGUUCACAUUUAUGAAAUAUUUGUCUUCUGAUGUUUUUGAAUGACCAUAUG